Molecule: ribosomal RNA, 1593 nt
Filed under: Triticum aestivum (bread wheat)
Lineage: Eukaryota; Viridiplantae; Streptophyta; Magnoliopsida; Poales; Poaceae
Description: partial small subunit ribosomal RNA
Source: RNAcentral
AUGGACGACUUCUUCGACGAGGACGGCGAGCAGCUCAUGGACCCCGACGCCCGCUCCCCCUCGCCCGAGCGCGGGGCGCAGCCCUACGACGGCCUCGAGGACGACCUCGACGACGACGGCGCCGACUGGAACCGCGACCGCUCCCCGACCCCCGUGCACGGCGGCGGCGGCGACGACGGGUCCUCCUCCAGGCCCCGGAAGCGCCUCCUCAAGAAGGGCGGGGGCGGGAAGGGCGACGGCGGCGGCGGCAUGCCCGCCGACGACCUGGAGGACUGGGGCGAGGACGCGGCCGCGGGGCUGGCCGACGACGACGUGGGCGGGGACCCGGACGCCGACAGGAAGAGGAAGGGGUCCUCGAGCCUCAGGGACCUCGCGAGGGGCGGCGGCAAGGACAAGCAUGAGAAGAAGAGGAGGAAGGAGGACGUGGGCAUGGUGAGGGAGAAGAGGGGCUCGUCUUCGGGCGGCAAGGGCUCCGGCGGCGGACGCGGGGGUGGGGAUAGGGGUGAGGAUCAGGAUGAAGAGGGGGAGAAGGAGAUCCAGGAGCUCUGGAAUACCAUCGCCGGGGACGGCUCAGAGGAUGAUGAAGAAGGUGUUAGAACCUUAGAUGAUGAUAAUUUCAUCGAUGACACUGGGGUUGACCCAGCUGACCGUUAUGACAAUGAUAAUGAUGGCCACUCUCCUCGACGUUUUGCACAGGCAGAGGAAGCUGAAGAGGACGACGAAAUUGAGCGGCUCUUUAAGGGUGGUAAGAAGAAGAAGAAGAAUGACCGACCACGUGCAGAUAUUGGUCUUAUAGUUGAACAGUUCAUUGCUGAGUUUGAAGUAGCCUCUGAAGAAGAUGCCAACCUAAAUAGGCAACAUAAACCAGCCAUUAACAAACUCAUGAAGCUUCCGCUCCUCAUAGAAGUUCUCUCAAAGAAGAAUCUCCAGCAGGAAUUCCUUGAUCAUGGAAUACUCACUCUUCUGAAGAACUGGCUUGAGCCUCUACCUGAUGGGAGCAUGCCCAAUAUGAAUAUUCGAUCUGCUGUACUGAAGUUACUAUCUGAUUUCCCAAUUGAUCUUGAGCAAUUCGACAGAAGAGAGCAGCUCAAGAAAAGUGGCUUGGGAAAGGUUAUUAUGUUUUUGUCAAAAUCUGACGAGGAGACUACUUCCAACAGAAAAUUAGCCAAGGAACUGGUUGAUAAAUGGAGUCGACCAAUAUUCCAAAAGAGCACAAGAUUUGAGGAUAUGAGGACAUAUGAUGGUGAAAGAGCUCCUUACAGGAGGCCUCAGAUGAAGAAGCCUUCGUCAAGUAGUUCUGGAAUGGAAUCAAGAGACGAUGAUCUUGAUGCUGACUUCUCUCAGCGCAAGUCCGGGCAAAGUGGUUCUAGGCAGCAUGCUUCUAGGCCAGAAGCAUCACCUUUGGACUUUGUCAUUCGUCCACAGUCCAAAAUUGACCCCGAACAGAUACGGGCUCGUGCUAAGCAACAAGUUCAAGACCAGCGCCGGCUGAAGAUGAACAAGAAACUGCAGCAGCUGAAAGCGCCGAAGAAGAAAAACCUCCAGGCUUCGAAGCUUAGUGUUGAAGGCCGUGGGAUGGUCAAGUACUUGUAA